The sequence is a transfer RNA, 75 nucleotides long. It matches the Rfam family "tRNA". From Rfam's summary of the family: Transfer RNA (tRNA) molecules are approximately 80 nucleotides in length. Their secondary structure includes four short double-helical elements and three loops (D, anti-codon, and T loops). The record is from Rfam.
GCCCGCUUAGCUCAGCAUGGUCAGAGCGCUAGACUCUUAAUCUAGUGGUCGUGCGUUCAAAUCGCACAGCGGGUA